GGUCCCCUAGCUCAGCUGGCAGAGCAAUUGACUCUUAAUCAAUGGGUCGAGGGUUCGAAUCCCUCGGGGAUCACCA
Molecule: transfer RNA, 76 nt
Filed under: Erysipelotrichaceae bacterium
Lineage: Bacteria; Bacillati; Bacillota; Erysipelotrichia; Erysipelotrichales; Erysipelotrichaceae
Description: tRNA-Lys
Rfam family: tRNA
About the family: Transfer RNA (tRNA) molecules are approximately 80 nucleotides in length. Their secondary structure includes four short double-helical elements and three loops (D, anti-codon, and T loops).
Source: RNAcentral